AGGAUGAACGCUGGCGGCGUGCCUAAUACAUGCAAGUCGAGCGGUAAGGCCACUUCGGUGGUACACGAGCGGCGGACGGCUGAGUAACACGUAGGAACGUACCCCAAAGUGAGGCAUAAGCACCAGAAAUGGUGUCUAAUACCGCAUGUGGCCUAACAGGCUAAAGCUCCGGCGCUUUGGGAACGGCCUGCGCAUGAUUAGCUUGUUGGUGAGGUAAAAGCUCACCAAGGCAGUGAUCAUUAGCUGGUCUGAGAGGAUGACCAGCCAGACUGGGGACUGAGAACGGCCCAGACUCCUACGGGAGGCAGCAGUAGGGAAUUUUCCACAAUGGGCGAAAGCCUGAUGGAGCAACGCCGCGUGCAGGAUGAAUGCCUUCGGGUUGUAAACUGCUUUUAUAUGUGACGAUUAUGACGGUAGCAUAUGAAUAAGGAUCGGCUAACUCCGUGCCAGCAGCCGC
RNAcentral lists this ribosomal RNA (457 nucleotides) under uncultured bacterium. Its description in RNAcentral is "SSU rRNA". It matches the Rfam family "Bacterial small subunit ribosomal RNA", at positions 26 to 518 of the family's 1533-position model. The record is from RNAcentral.